GAUGAACGCUGGCGGCGUGCCUAAUACAUGCAAGUCGAGCGAACGGACGAGAAGCUUGCUUCUCUGAUGUUAGCGGCGGACGGGUGAGUAACACGUGGAUAACCUACCUAUAAGACUGGGAUAACUUCGGGAAACCGGAGCUAAUACCGGAUAAUAUUUUGAACCGCAUGGUUCAAAAGUGAAAGACGGUCUUGCUGUCACUUAUAGAUGGAUCCGCGCUGCAUUAGCUAGUUGGUAAGGUAACGGCUUACCAAGGCAACGAUGCAUAGCUGACCUGAGAGGGUGAUCGGCCACACUGGAACUGAGACACGGUCCAGACUCCUACGGGAGGCAGCAGUAGGGAAUCUUCCGCAAUGGGCGAAAGCCUGACGGAGCAACGCCGCGUGAGUGAUGAAGGUCUUCGGAUCGUAAAACUCUGUUAUUAGGGAAGAACAUAUGUGUAAGUAACUGUGCACAUCUUGACGGUACCUAAUCAGAAAGCCACGGCUAACUACGUG
RNAcentral lists this ribosomal RNA (497 nucleotides) under uncultured bacterium. Its description in RNAcentral is "partial 16S ribosomal RNA". It matches the Rfam family "Bacterial small subunit ribosomal RNA", at positions 28 to 507 of the family's 1533-position model. The record is from RNAcentral.